AUGAUAGACCCUUCGGUAGAAGCCAGCACACCUCCUGUGGUAACACCUGAAGCUAGAGCUUCUGUUGCCGAAGGUGCAGUAGAAACUACAAUUGAAGCUCAAGCAGUACAAACCAACAGCACUGACUCAUGGUUCAAAGUCCCACUUGUUGCAACGGUAGAACCCUUAUUGGAAACGACAGUAGAACCACCAGUAGAGGCCGUCGCCUCUCCACUAGAGAGUGAAGCUGCUGUUGUUGAAGCUACAGUAGAGCCUACAGUAGAAACUGAACACACUGCCUUCGUCCAAAAUGAACAAGAAUCUGCGGUCUUACCUUUGAAAACCAAAGAAGAAUCUACAAUAGAAUCUAUAGUAGAAUCAUCCUCCGGGAAUGUCGCUGUUGAAGAGGGCGUGAACGAAUCUGAACACAUGACUUUAGAGUCUGUGACACUGCAUUCAGUUCAGGCUUCGGUGGAGUCUUUGGAAACCGACGAGCUCCUCCAGACAACAUUAAGUCUUGAUGAAAGAGCAGAGAUACGACUCCGGGAGUUGUUGUCGGUCCAGACGGAGAUCGGCGGCGAGCACAAAGCUGAGAACUCGGGUGGAGAUGGGGGCGAACAUUUGAAAGUUCUUUCACGGUGGGAUUCUCUGUCUGACGACCUUCACGAGUUAGAAGGAGAAACCGCCACAAUGGUGAGUGAGCUCCUCUGUCGAGUUCCCGCAGAGCUGUCCAAAACUGACGCCGCGGUAAAAAAGAGUUUUGCCUUCCAUCAAACUGUGGGAACUAACGGAGAGCGUUCGCAGAUGGAGGAGAAGGCGACUGAGGAAGAAGAUAUGGCGCUGGUAUCGGUUACUUCAGCCGAGGUGGAAACCGAAGUUCUGCAAGAAGCAAGUGAUGCACUUGAGGAAGAAGCGGACGUACCAGCAAAAGACGAGAAGAUGGAAGUUGAGAUGGCAAUAGAGGAUGUUGUUUUUAAGGACACGGCAGAGGCUGAAAUUUUAACUCUGGGUUCUUUCUCUGAAGCAACCGAAGUGAUAGCUGAGGUACCCGUUAUAACGGAGGCCGUGUUCGGCUCUGAGCAACAGCCACCUGACCCUCUGCUUCUGGAGCUGGUACCGCAGAUUGAUCAGGAAGCUGAGAAACGGUCCGGAGAGCAGGAAGGAAGUGUCUCGGAGGGCACGCCUCUUGACUCUGUGACGAUGGCUGAAGUUGAGGCCUCUCUGGGAACUCUGGAGAACGAGUCCCUGGGCGAAAGCUCAGCUCACCUGGAGAAGGACGCUCAAGUUCUCGCCGGAGAGACGAGGGUGGAGGUAGAGGAAGGAACGGCGUGCGAGGAGAGGACUGAUGCUCUGAAUGUCGAGUCUCUCGAAGCUGACGAGCUAUCUGCAGAUCUGACUGACGCACUGGAGGAGGAGCUGCUCUUUGUUCCCGGGCAUGUGGCAGGCGAAACAGAAACUCAGACCGGUCAGGAGGUCGUAACAGCAAAUAUUUUAGAUGGUAUGUUUAACAUUGAGCCCCAACAGCCCCGAAAUAUUGCUAUCAAAUCUGAACACAAAUACAUAUGA
RNAcentral lists this long non-coding RNA (1545 nucleotides) under Scophthalmus maximus (turbot). RNAcentral's name for it is "lncRNA (ENSSMAG00000001498.2)". Lineage: Eukaryota; Metazoa; Chordata; Actinopteri; Pleuronectiformes; Scophthalmidae. The record is from RNAcentral.